GACGAACCGUGCGAACGUUGUUCGGAAUCACUGGGCUUAAAGGGCGCGUAGGCGGGUGACCAAGUCCUGGGUGAAAUCCUCCGGCUUAACCGGAGAAGUGCCUGAGAUACUGGUCGUCUGGAGGGAGGUAGGGGCAGCUGGAACUUCCGGUGGAGCGGUGAAAUGCGUUGAUAUCGGAAGGAACGCCGGUGGCGAAAGCGAGCUGCUGGACCUCUUCUGACGCUGAGGCGCGAAAGCCAGGGGAGCAAACGGG
RNAcentral lists this ribosomal RNA (253 nucleotides) under uncultured Gemmata sp. Its description in RNAcentral is "partial 16S ribosomal RNA". It matches the Rfam family "Bacterial small subunit ribosomal RNA", at positions 524 to 776 of the family's 1533-position model. Lineage: Bacteria; Pseudomonadati; Planctomycetota; Planctomycetia; Gemmatales; Gemmataceae. The record is from RNAcentral.